GCGGGUGUAGCUCAGUGGUAGAGCGCUAGCCUUCCAAGCUAGUUAUGUGAGUUCGAUUCUCAUCACCCGCUCCA
Molecule: transfer RNA, 74 nt
Filed under: Desulfitobacterium metallireducens DSM 15288
Lineage: Bacteria; Bacillati; Bacillota; Clostridia; Eubacteriales; Desulfitobacteriaceae
Description: tRNA-Gly (TCC) (tRNA-Gly-TCC-1 1 to 3)
Rfam family: tRNA
About the family: Transfer RNA (tRNA) molecules are approximately 80 nucleotides in length. Their secondary structure includes four short double-helical elements and three loops (D, anti-codon, and T loops). Further hydrogen bonds mediate the characteristic L-shaped molecular structure. tRNAs have two regions of fundamental functional importance: the anti-codon, which is responsible for specific mRNA codon recognition, and the 3' end, to which the tRNAs corresponding amino acid is attached (by aminoacyl-tRNA synthetases). tRNAs cope with the degeneracy of the genetic code in two manners: having more than one tRNA (with a specific anti-codon) for a particular amino acid; and 'wobble' base-pairing, i.e. permitting non-standard base-pairing at the 3rd anti-codon position.
Source: RNAcentral